This 395-nucleotide ribosomal RNA is filed under the name uncultured bacterium. RNAcentral's name for it is "partial 16S ribosomal RNA". It matches the Rfam family "Bacterial small subunit ribosomal RNA", at positions 523 to 918 of the family's 1533-position model. The record is from RNAcentral.
AUACGUAGGGUGCAAGCGUUAAUCGGAAUUACUGGGCGUAAAGCGUGCGCAGGCGGUUUUGUAAGAAAGUGGUGAAAUCCCCGGGCUCAACCUGGGGACUGCCAUUGUGACCGCAAGGCUGGAGGGCGGCCGAGGGGGAUGGAAUUCCCGCGGUAGCAGGGAAAUGCGUAGAUAUGCGGAGGAACACCGAUGGCGAAGGCAAUCCCCUGGGCCUGCACUGACGCUCAUGCACGAAAGCGUGGGGAGCAAACAGGAUUAGAUACCCUGGUAGUCCACGCCCUAAACGAUGUCAACUGGUUGUUGGGGAUUUAUUUUCUCAGUAACGAAGCUAACGCGUGAAGUUGACCGCCUGGGGAGUACGGCCGCAAGGUUAAAACUCAAAUGAAUUGACGGGG